CAGGGUUUGACAUCCUGCGACCGCUCCCUAACAGGAGUUUUCCCGCAAGGGACGCAGAGACAGGUGCUGCAUGGCUGUCGUCAGCUCGUGUCGUGAGAUGUUGGGUUAAGUCCCGCAACGAGCGCAACCCUCGCCUUUAGUUGCCAUCAUUCAGUUGGGCACUCUAGAGGGACCGCCGGCGACAAGCCGGAGGAAGGUGGGGAUGACGUCAAGUCCUCAUGGCCCUUACACCCUGGGCUACACACGUGCUACAAUGGCGGUGACAGUGGGCAGCUACUUCGCGAGAAGCGGCUAAUCCCAAAAAACCGCCCCAGUUCAGAUUGUACUCUGCAACUCGAGUACAUGAGGUGGAAUCGCUAGUAAUCGCAGAACAGCAGGCUGCGGUGAAUACGUUCCC
RNAcentral lists this ribosomal RNA (397 nucleotides) under uncultured bacterium. RNAcentral describes it as "bacterial SSU rRNA". It matches the Rfam family "Bacterial small subunit ribosomal RNA", at positions 975 to 1375 of the family's 1533-position model. The record is from RNAcentral.